UACAGAGGUCUCAAGCGUUGUUCGGAUUCAUUGGGCGUAAAGGGUGUGUAGGUGGCGCGCUAAGUCGGGUGUGAAAUUUCGGAGCUUAACUCCGAAACUGCAUUCGAUACUGGCGUGCUUGAGGACUGGAGAGGAGACUGGAAUUCAUGGUGUAGCAGUGAAAUGCGUAGAGAUCAUGAGGAAGACCAGUGGCGAAGGCGGGUCUCUGGACAGUUCCUGACACUGAUGCACGAAAGCGUGGGGAGCAAACAGG
RNAcentral lists this ribosomal RNA (253 nucleotides) under uncultured bacterium. Its description in RNAcentral is "partial 16S ribosomal RNA". It matches the Rfam family "Bacterial small subunit ribosomal RNA", at positions 524 to 776 of the family's 1533-position model. The record is from RNAcentral.